GCUUAGAAAUGUUUGGAAUUCUACAUGGGUUACAAAGAGUGAAAAUCUAGUUUAAACUGGUUGGGCUAUUCUUCUGUCAGAGUGACUAAAGUUGAGUCCAGAAACACUCCCAAACACCUAUAUUUGCCUGAAUAUCAAUUUCUGUGGAACGUUGGAACUGCAAUGUGAAAAAUAUUUUCUAUGUUCUGCAUUUAUUUUCUCAAGAUUGACCUACUGCUUUCUUACCAUAAAUUUUGAAACAGUAAUUCCAAUAUAACAUAGAUGACAGCUUAGAAUUAUAUUUUAUUUUGCUUUUGGUAGGCAAUGGGAUGGGGACCAGAGCUGAAGACGGGAGAUAAUGAGGGAUGGUCCUCAGAGGCAGUGAUGGGCUGGAAGCCUGCUUUGUAGGCUGUUCACACUAUCUCCAAGGUGUAUGCACAACAGGUUUAUAAUUCAAGCGUUUUGUAACUGUUCAGUAAACCUGCCUGGACAAAGUUCAUUUGAAGGGGUGUGUAUUCUAGGCGAGAGGACUGAAAAUCUAGACCUUUACAUGGUGGGUAACUGCCCAGUCUUGUUUCUCAGACUAACUUGUUCAUCCACUGCAGAUGCAGCCUUCAUCCCUGCACAGUAGGCAAAAAGCCAUUGUUUUCUUUGCUUGGUUGGUGGUUUACUUCCUUGUCACCUUCUCACACAGUUGGGCCACGGGCUUACCGCUGCUCUCACCAUGAGCAGCCUUGUAUUUUUCCAUCAAUACCUAGAGAAUUUAAUUCCUUCCACAUAUAGUGAUUCCAGUUCCUGAACAACUGUUUGGUUUUGUGACAUGACAGCUUUGUGAAGAGGUGAAGUGAAAAUUCACUGAGAAAUAGAUCUCUUCUUAUCCGUCCACUUGCUUAUCUCUGGGUUCUCCAAGACCACAUCAUUCCAAUUUACAACAAAUGAAGCAGAACCAUGUGAAAUUGCUUUUUCUGUAGGUCAGAGGCAGUUAAAUAUAGGUAAUUUCACAUGGUUCAACUUCUACAUAUACAAGCAAAUUCUCUGAUUAAA
Non-coding RNA from Vicugna pacos (alpaca), 1023 nucleotides. Lineage: Eukaryota; Metazoa; Chordata; Mammalia; Artiodactyla; Camelidae. The record is from RefSeq and is a predicted model, not a curated record.